CGCGUAGGCGGUCUUGUCGGUCAGAUGUGAAAGCCCAGGGCUCAACCCUGGACGUGCAUUUGAAACAGCAAGACUUGAGUACGGGAGAGGAAAGCGGAAUUCCUGGUGUAGAGGUGAAAUUCGUAGAUAUCAGGAGGAACACCGAUGGCGAAGGCAGCUUUCUGGAACGAUACUGACGCUGAGGCGCGAAGGCGUGGGUAGCGAACAGGAUUAGAUACCCUGGUAGUCC
This 229-nucleotide ribosomal RNA is filed under the name uncultured bacterium. RNAcentral's name for it is "partial 16S ribosomal RNA". It matches the Rfam family "Bacterial small subunit ribosomal RNA", at positions 568 to 796 of the family's 1533-position model. The record is from RNAcentral.